UUAAAUUAAAGAUAGAAACCAAUCUGGCUUACACCGAUUUUAACUCAGAUCAUGUAAGAAUUUAAA
RNAcentral lists this transfer RNA (66 nucleotides) under Pamphilius sp. ZJUH_2016023. RNAcentral describes it as "tRNA-Val". The record is from RNAcentral. Lineage: Eukaryota; Metazoa; Arthropoda; Insecta; Hymenoptera; Pamphiliidae.